UGCCUCCAUGGGAGUUGGCUGAACUGUGGGU
This 31-nucleotide non-coding RNA is filed under the name Homo sapiens (human). The record is from RNAcentral. Lineage: Eukaryota; Metazoa; Chordata; Mammalia; Primates; Hominidae.